RNAcentral lists this long non-coding RNA (293 nucleotides) under Phaseolus vulgaris (common bean). Its description in RNAcentral is "long non-coding RNA (PVUL_LNC001619)". Lineage: Eukaryota; Viridiplantae; Streptophyta; Magnoliopsida; Fabales; Fabaceae. The record is from RNAcentral.
AAAUAAGAGGAUUAAAAUGAUGAUGCAGAUGGGAAUAGUAAUAAACUGUGACGGUUUUGGAGAAAUGGGAUAGAGAGAGUGAAGAGAAAAGAGAAUGAUUGUGAUGAGAGAAAAAGAAAGCAGUAGAACAAUAAACUUAGAACUUGCAAUAAAAACACACUUAACUUAACCCUUAAGUAAUUGUAAGUGAAUGGAUGAUUAGAGUGGAAGACAAAUAACAGUAAGCAAUAUAUUGGUUAUAUAUGGUGAAGAAAAGGAUAAUCGGCAAUAUAUUGGUUAUCUAGGCUAUUAUA